Mesocricetus auratus (golden hamster) is the source of this 703-nucleotide long non-coding RNA. RefSeq lists it as uncharacterized. The transcript has 2 exons. The record is from RefSeq and is a predicted model, not a curated record. Lineage: Eukaryota; Metazoa; Chordata; Mammalia; Rodentia; Cricetidae.
CACUGUCCUCUGUGCACAACAGCAAACGUUUGCUUUGUUGUUAUUUUGUUUUGUUUCUGAGAGAGGAGGCUUGCCUAAAAGUUGAUGGGCAGAGAAUGCCCUUGAUCUCCUGACUUUCCAUCCGUUUCCCACAUCCUGAGAUUUGGACACCAUGACAGUUAAUGCAGCGCUGGUGGUUAAACCCAGGGCUACAUACCUAGCCCUAAUGAAACAUCCGAAAGGGCAGAGUCUGUAGCCAGCUGUGAUGUCCUUGAGGACAAGAGCCAGGUUUCUGCUCAGGAUGGUUUCCACAGCCUGGCACAGGACCCGGUACACACCUAACAUGUUCAAUGAUCACUCAUUGGCUGGCUGAGUGCUUAAGAACUAGAAUGCAGACAGGGAAACACUUGAACAAACCCUCAAGGUCAAAGAGCAGCUUUGGAGCUCUGGCUCCAUCCUGGGCCGGUCUCUGGGCACCUGCCUUGGUGUGAUCCCAGCAUUCCAAAGACUUAGGAUGGGACUAGACAUGCCUCCUGAACGAGAUCAGCUGCAAGAGUACAUGGGGGACAAAUGCGGAGUGCCGCAGGGCCUGCUUCGCACGUGGUGGAACAUCACAAAUAUUUGCUGAAUUAUGAAUGGAAGAUAUUUCAAAAUAAGUUUGGAAACCUCUUUUCUGGAAAUGGUCCCUCUUCUGCGUAAAUAUUAGGUUUGGAUUCGUGCAAAA